GGGUUGUGAGGUUAAGCGACUAAGCGUACACGGUGGAUGCCCUGGCAGUCAGAGGCGAUGAAGGACGUGCUAAUCUGCGAUAAGCGCCGGUAAGGUGAUAUGAACCGUUAUAACCGGCGAUUUCCGAAUGGGGAAACCCAGUGUGAUUCGUCACACUAUCAUUAACUGAAUCCAUAGGUUAAUGAGGCGAACCGGGGGAACUGAAACAUCUAAGUACCCCGAGGAAAAGAAAUCAACCGAGAUUCCCCCAGUAGCGGCGAGCGAACGGGGAGGAGCCCAGAGCCUGAAUCAGCAUGUGUGUUAGUGGAAGCGUCUGGAAAGGCGCGCGAUACAGGGUGACAGCCCCGUACACAAAAGCGCAUGUGCUGUGAGCUCGAUGAGUAGGGCGGGACACGUGGUAUCCUGUCUGAAUAUGGGGGGACCAUCCUCCAAGGCUAAAUACUCCUGACUGACCGAUAGUGAACCAGUACCGUGAGGGAAAGGCGAAAAGAACCCCGGCGAGGGGAGUGAAAAAGAACCUGAAACCGUGUACGUACAAGCAGUGGGAGCACCCUUCGGGGUGUGACUGCGUACCUUUUGUAUAAUGGGUCAGCGACUUAUAUUCUGUAGCAAGGUUAACCGUAUAGGGGAGCCGGAGGGAAACCGAGUCUUAAUUGGGCGUUAAGUUGCAGGGUAUAGACCCGAAACCCGGUGAUCUAGCCAUGGGCAGGUUGAAGGUUGGGUAACACUAACUGGAGGACCGAACCGACUAAUGUUGAAAAAUUAGCGGAUGACCUGUGGCUGGGGGUGAAAGGCCAAUCAAACCGGGAGAUAGCUGGUUCUCCCCGAAAGCUAUUUAGGUAGCGCCUCGUGAAUUCAUCUCCGGGGGUAGAGCACUGUUUCGGCUAGGGGGCCAUCCCGGCUUACCAACCCGAUGCAAACUGCGAAUACCGGAGAAUGUUAUCACGGGAGACACACGGCGGGUGCUAACGUCCGUCGUGAAGAGGGAAACAACCCAGACCGCCAGCUAAGGUCCCAAAGUCAUGGUUAAGUGGGAAACGAUGUGGGAAGGCCCAGACAGCCAGGAUGUUGGCUUAGAAGCAGCCAUCAUUUAAAGAAAGCGUAAUAGCUCACUGGUCGAGUCGGCCUGCGCGGAAGAUGUAACGGGGCUAAACCAUGCACCGAAGCUGCGGCGAACGUAUCACCCAAGACAACUUUACGGAGUUGACGAUUGACGGAGCGAAGCGACGUCAAAGCGUUCAUUAAAGUCGAGUUGGCUUAGGGAUACGUUCGUUGGGUAGGGGAGCGUUCUGUAAGCCUGUGAAGGUGUGUCGUGAGGCAUGCUGGAGGUAUCAGAAGUGCGAAUGCUGACAUAAGUAACGAUAAAGCGGGUGAAAAGCCCGCUCGCCGGAAGACCAAGGGUUCCUGUCCAACGUUAAUCGGGGCAGGGUGAGUCGACCCCUAAGGCGAGGCCGAAAGGCGUAGUCGAUGGGAAACGGGUUAAUAUUCCCGUACUUGGUGUUACUGCGAAGGGGGGACGGAGAAGGCUAUGUUGGCCGGGCGACGGUUGUCCCGGUUUAAGCGUGUAGGUGUGUGUUCCAGGUAAAUCCGGUUCACUUUAACACUGAGGCGUGACGACGAGGCACUACGGUGCUGAAGCAACAAAUGCCCUGCUUCCAGGAAAAGCCUCUAAGCAUCAGGUAACACGAAAUCGUACCCCAAACCGACACAGGUGGUCAGGUAGAGAAUACCAAGGCGCUUGAGAGAACUCGGGUGAAGGAACUAGGCAAAAUGGUGCCGUAACUUCGGGAGAAGGCACGCUGACACGUAGGUGAAGUGAUUUACUCAUGGAGCUGAAGUCAGUCGAAGAUACCAGCUGGCUGCAACUGUUUAUUAAAACACAGCACUGUGCAAACACGAAAGUGGACGUAUACGGUGUGACGCCUGCCCGGUGCCGGAAGGUUAAUUGAUGGGGUCAGCGUAAGCGAAGCUCCUGAUCGAAGCCCCGGUAAACGGCGGCCGUAACUAUAACGGUCCUAAGGUAGCGAAAUUCCUUGUCGGGUAAGUUCCGACCUGCACGAAUGGCGUAAUGAUGGCCAGGCUGUCUCCACCCGAGACUCAGUGAAAUUGAACUCGCUGUGAAGAUGCAGUGUACCCGCGGCAAGACGGAAAGACCCCGUGAACCUUUACUAUAGCUUGACACUGAACAUUGAGCCUUGAUGUGUAGGAUAGGUGGGAGGCUUUGAAGUGUGGACGCCAGUCUGCAUGGAGCCGACCUUGAAAUACCACCCUUUAAUGUUUGAUGUUCUAACGUGGACCCGUAAUCCGGGUUGCGGACAGUGUCUGGUGGGUAGUUUGACUGGGGCGGUCUCCUCCUAAAGAGUAACGGAGGAGCACGAAGGUUGGCUAAUCCUGGUCGGACAUCAGGAGGUUAGUGCAAUGGCAUAAGCCAGCUUGACUGCGAGCGUGACGGCGCGAGCAGGUGCGAAAGCAGGUCAUAGUGAUCCGGUGGUUCUGAAUGGAAGGGCCAUCGCUCAACGGAUAAAAGGUACUCCGGGGAUAACAGGCUGAUACCGCCCAAGAGUUCAUAUCGACGGCGGUGUUUGGCACCUCGAUGUCGGCUCAUCACAUCCUGGGGCUGAAGUAGGUCCCAAGGGUAUGGCUGUUCGCCAUUUAAAGUGGUACGCGAGCUGGGUUUAGAACGUCGUGAGACAGUUCGGUCCCUAUCUGCCGUGGGCGCUGGAGAACUCCGGGGGGCAGCUCCUAGUACGAGAGGACCGGAGUGGACGCAUCACAGGUGAUCCGGUUGUCAUGCCAAAGGCACUGCCCGGUAGCUAAAUGCGGAAGACAUAAGAGCAGAAAGCACCCUGAGACUUAGAGUCUCCUGAAGGAACGUUGAAGACGACGACGUUGAUAGGCCGGGUGUGUAAGCGCAGCGAUGCGUUGAGCUAACCGGUACUAAUGAACCGUGAGGCUUAACCUUACAACGCCGAAG
Molecule: ribosomal RNA, 2974 nt
Filed under: Salmonella enterica subsp. enterica serovar 1,4,[5],12:i:-
Lineage: Bacteria; Pseudomonadati; Pseudomonadota; Gammaproteobacteria; Enterobacterales; Enterobacteriaceae
Description: 23S ribosomal RNA
Rfam family: Bacterial large subunit ribosomal RNA
Source: RNAcentral